GGUGAACGCUGGCGGUGGGCCUAACACAUGCAAGUCGAACGGAAAGGCCCUAAGUUUUUGGUGUUCCGGGGGGGGGGAGGGGGACGGGAGAGGAAAAUAACCGGCCCUACUUUUUGGGGGGAGUUCAGGAAACGAGGCUUAAGCUAAUACAGGAGACCCCGUUCGGGUGUAGGGGGUGGAAAUUCGCGGCUGGUGCGGAUGGAUGCGCGGCUGUCGAGCUUGUUGGUGGGGGAGUGGCUGACCCAGGCAUUGGAGGGUCGGCGGCCUGAGAGGGUGACCGGCCACAUUGGGACUGCGAUAGGGCCCAGACUGCUACGGUAGGCAGCAGUGGGGAAUAUUGCACAAUGGGCGGAAGCCUGAUGCAGCAACGCCGGGUGCGGGAUGACGGCCUUCGGGUUGUAAAACGCUUUCGGCUGUGACGAAGCGUUAGUGACGGUAAUGGGUAAAGAAGCACCGGCUAACUACGUG
Molecule: ribosomal RNA, 468 nt
Filed under: uncultured bacterium
Lineage: Bacteria
Description: partial 16S ribosomal RNA
Rfam family: Bacterial small subunit ribosomal RNA
Source: RNAcentral